RNAcentral lists this transfer RNA (67 nucleotides) under human gut metagenome. It matches the Rfam family "tRNA", at positions 6 to 65 of the family's 71-position model. Rfam says of the family: Transfer RNA (tRNA) molecules are approximately 80 nucleotides in length. Their secondary structure includes four short double-helical elements and three loops (D, anti-codon, and T loops). The record is from RNAcentral.
UCGUAGCUCAGUAGGAUAGAGCGACGGUUUCCUAAACCGCAGGUCAUGGGUUCGAUUCCCUUCGGGC